Molecule: RNA transcript, 6318 nt
Organism: Hirundo rustica (Barn swallow)
Lineage: Eukaryota; Metazoa; Chordata; Aves; Passeriformes; Hirundinidae
Gene: JAKMIP3
Gene name: Janus kinase and microtubule interacting protein 3
Exons: 25
Source: RefSeq, a predicted model, not a curated record
UUUUUUUUCCCCAAGAAAGCGUUUCCUGUCGUAACGUAACCAGAUGGGGAGGGUUCACUGGAAAUACCUCGGGAGAGGCUGGCAGAGCGGCGGAUGCGGGAAGCAGAUCCUCCCCGUAGCAUUGGCCCGCUUUGCUGGCCUGACCUGCUGAGGGCCAUCCCGGUGUCUGGCCAGGGACAGUGCCUCUGCUGUGCUGGGACUGAGCCAUGCGGGGCAGACCCCGGCACUGAGGGGCAUCGGCCAGGAGCACUGCCGCCCACCUCAACAGCACCGCUAUCAAAAAGCCCCCAGAAGAUGUAGAGCGGAGCAGUCCCUCACCAUGGCCAAGAGGGGCUCCGGCAGCCGCGCCAGGGGGGACAAGCCCGACGCCUUGGCCGCGCUGCAGGCUGCCAACGAGGAGCUCAGGGCCAAGCUCACCGACAUCCAGAUCGAGCUGCAGCAGGAGAAGAGCAAGGUCAGCAAGUUGGAAAGGGAGAAAAAUCAGGAGGUGAAGCAGAUCAAGGAGCACGAACAGCACAAAAGCACAGUGGUGGUCACAGAGCUCAAAGUCAAACUUCAUGAAGACAAAAUGAAAGAGCUCCAAGCUGUCCGAGAAACCCUUCUGAGGCAGCACGAAGCUGAACUGCUCAGAGUAAUAAAAAUUAAGGAUAAUGAAAUCCAGAGACUGCAGACCCUGCUCAACGCCGUACGUGACGGGGCCCCGGACAAGGUGAAGACGGUGCUGCUCAGCGAGGCCAAGGAGGAGGCCAAGAGGGGCUUUGAGGUGGAGAAGAUCAAAAUGCAGCAAGAGAUUUCCGAGCUGAAGGGGGCUAAGAAACAGGUGGAGGAGGCUCUCACCAUGGUCAUCCAAGCUGACAAGAUCAAAGCAGCGGAGAUCCGGAGCGUGUACCACCUGCACCAGGAGGAGAUCACCAGGAUCAAGAGGGAGUGCGAGAGGGAAAUCCGCAGGCUGAUGGAGGAGAUUAAGUUUAAGGACAGAGCAGUCUUCGUGCUGGAGAGAGAGUUAGGGGUGCGAGCCGGGCAUGCUCAGAGACUGCAGCUCCAAAAGGAGGCUUUAGAUGAACAACUGUCCCAGCUCAAAGAGUCUGACCGGCACCUGAGCAGCCCCAAGCGGGAACUUCCUUAUGCAAGUGGUGCAGGAGACGCUUCAGAUCACUCGGGAAGCCCCGAACAGCAGUUGGAUGAAAAGGAUGCCCGGCGCUUCCAGCUGAAAAUCGCGGAGCUGAGCGGGAUAAUCCGCAAGCUGGAGGACAGGAACGCGCUGCUGUCGGAGGAGAGGAACGAGCUGCUGAAACGUCUCAGAGAAGCGGAAAGUCAGUACAAACCCAUUUUGGACAAAAACAAACGCCUCAGUAGGAAGAAUGAGGAGUUGUCACAUGCCUUACGUCGAAUGGAAAAUAAACUGAAAUUUGUGACGCAGGAAAAUAUUGCCAUGAGGCAAAGAACUGGAGCAAUAAGGAGACCAAGCUCCCUAAAUGACCUUGACCACAGCCAGGAAGAAAGGGAAGUGGAUUUCCUGAGGCUACAAGUUAUUGAGCAGCAAAACAUCAUUGAUGAGCUCUCCAAGACCCUGGAGACUGCUGGCUAUGUGAAGAGCGUCAUGGAACGUGAUAAGCUGCUCCGGUUCAGGAAGCAGAGGAAAAAAAUGACGAGAAUUCCUAAGAAGCCCGUGGUGGAGACGUUCUAUGGCUACGAUGAGGAGGCUUCCCUGGAGUCUGAUGGUUCCUCCAUCUCCUACCAAACCGACCGCACUGACCAGACCCCCUGCACGCCCGAGGACGACCUGGAGGAGGGCAUGGCCAAGGAGGAGACGGAGCUGCGUUUUCGGCAGCUGACGAUGGAGUACCAGGCGCUGCAGCGCGCCUACGCCCUGCUGCAGGAGCAGGUCGGCGGCACCCUGGAUGCGGAACGAGAAGUGAAGACACGUGAGCAGCUCCAAGCAGAAAUACACCGGUCCCAGGCUCAGAUAGAAGAUCUGGAGAAGGCUCUGGCUGAGCAGGGACAGGACAUGAAGUGGAUUGAGGAGAAGCAAGCCCUGUACAGAAGAAAUCAGGAGCUGGUAGAAAAGAUCAGACACAUGGAGGCCGAGGAGGCUCGCCUGAAGCACGACGUGCAGGACGCCAAGGACCAGAACGAGCUGCUGGAGUUCAGGAUCCUGGAGCUGGAGGAGAGAGAGAGACGGUCCCCUGCCAUCAACUUCCACCACGGCCCCUUCACGGAGGGGAAGAGCCCUCUGCAGGUGUACUGUGAGGCUGAAGGGGUCACGGACAUUGUAGUAGCCGAGCUGAUGAAAAAGUUGGACAUUUUAGGGGAUAACGCCGUAAGUAACCUGACCAACGAGGAGCAGGUGGUGAUCAUCCAGGCCAGGACUGUCCUCACGCUGGCUGAGAAGUGGCUCCAGCAGAUCGAGGUGACCGAGUCUGCCCUGCAGCAGAAGAUGCUGGACCUGGAGAACGAGAAGGAGCUGUUCAGCAAGCAAAAGGGCUACCUGGACGAUGAGCUGGACUUCAGGAAACAGUCCCUGGACCAGGCUCACAAGCAAAUUCUGGAAUUAGAAGCCAUGCUCUAUGAUGCCCUGCAGCAAGAAGCUGGAGCCAAAAUUUCCGAACUUCUUUCAGAAGAGGAGAGGGAGAAGCUGAAGAGCGCCGUGGAGCAGUGGAAGCGGCAGGUGAUGAGUGAGCUGCGGGAGAGGGACGCCCAAAUCCUGCGGGAAAGGAUGGAGCUCAUCCAGCACGCCCAGCAGAGAAUUAAAGAGCUAGAAGAAAGAAUUGAAGGCCAAAAAAGACAAAUAAAAGAGUUAGAGGAAAAGCUUUCAUUCUUUGGUCAUAGCCCUUCAGGCCACAUGCACAAGCCCCCUGAGGCCACUCCAGCUGCUGCUGCUGUUGUUCCCAGAGGGCCAGCCCUGCUUCCCCAGACCCACAGAGAGACUUUGCCCUUCCCACCCGCCCGGAUCUGCCUGGUCCUCUGCUGCUGGCCACGGGAGGUGCAGCCUGUGGCGCUCCCGGUGGGGCUGGGCGAGGGUCCCUGCCGCCGCGACACCCCCGAGGGCUUUGGAGAGGAUGGAACUGAGCCGACGGGGAAAGGCGAAAUGUGCGCUCCUCACCCUCCCCCAGCCCCAGGAGUGCUCCCGGAGUGCCAGCCCUGCUGGGGGACCUGCCCGGGCUCUGCCAGGAGCACCCUCACUAAUUCAGAUACACUGGAUUUAUUCUGGUUCCCUGCUGAGCAGGUGGCAAAUUGCUUCUGUGUAGAAGUGCCCGUGUCCUGUUUGUAUGCCACACACUCGCGUUUGUUAUCCACAGCUCUUCAAAAACCUGUCUUGGAAGGAGAUUUUAGGAAGUGUUCCAGAGGAGUAGCUCAUGAAAAGAGGAAUAUGAAUGAAAAUGAAGUGGUUUGUUCCAAGGUAUUUCUUCGUUACACAGGCUAUGUCCCGUGCUUUGUUGAAUGUUCCAUGAGCCCAGUUUUAGGAAAAAACAUAAAGCUACAUUCAAGAAAUCAAGCUGUAAUUUUUUUUUUUUUUUUUUUUUUUUUUUUUUUUGGAGUUGUCAGUAAACCGUUAUGCAAAAAAUUAUGGAAUAAUUUAUAAUCUAUAACUAUCCCUGAACAAUGACAAAAGACCCAACACUGUCCCAGCAAAAAGUUCAACCUGGAAAAAGUGAUCUAAACCAGAUCAUCCCUGAUCCACGUGCACUGGGCUGGGAGAGGCAGCAAGAGGGAACAGAAGAGGUUUUCACCUGGAAGCUGUCACCUGCAAAAUGUCCUCACCUAGGGAAAAGGGAGCACAAGUCCCCCAGAGCCCGAGCCCUGGAGGCUGGCACGGGAACCGGGAAGGAAAAAGAAUCCUCUAGAAAAACGGCUGAGGAGGGGAAAAUCCAGAAGAAAUUCCAGAGUGUGAUUGGACAUGGGACUCACAGCUGAGCACCGAAAUGUGGGGCUGUGGGGCAAGGCCAGGAAGGAGGAAGGAGGCCAGGAAGGAGGAAGGAGGCCAGGAAGGAAGAACAAGGCCAGGUCCUGUUGGCAGCCACGGUCCCACGGCGCCCAUCCCUGGGGGCACGGGGCAGAAAGGGAUCAGAGCUCCCGGCAGGUACCUGUGCCGCUGGAGUUUAUAAAGCUGUGAGGAAAGCUCCUUGAUACUGAAACUCUCCAACCUCUUCCUGCACUCGUACAUCGACCGUGUUCUAGCCCAGCACAGGGAGCUCAGCUGCAGAAACAGGAGGAAGUGAGUUAAUCAGAGAAGUGUGAUGUUUGAACUGAAGGGAUGCGAUGCUUUAAGGCCAAGGUUGUGGAUUUUGAUAUCAGCAUAUGAUUCCAUCACAGAAUUGAUUUAGCAAGCUCCGAUUCUACCAGAGAUCGAUACCGGUGCUGGGAUUCUGGGAUGAGCUGCAUUUUUGCUUCUGCAUUUCACGCCCCAAAUGGGUCCAUUUUGAAUUCCACCGAAAUACUUCAUGUCUUAAAAUACUGUAUUUACUGGAAGCCCUUCAGGUGGUGGUUGAGGUGACAAAGGCCACGUUAGGAAGCGGCUGGAGUCCAUCUCACAGUUCUUCAUUCGGGACGUGCCCUUGCCUGGUGUGUUCGUGUGUCUCAAAUAUUGGUCCUGUUUUCUGAUUAACUUCCUUAAUCCUGGCGGUUUUAAGUACAAAGAAAAUUGUACAGGACAGGUCUGUGUGUAAAUAAGGGAUUGUGCUUACCUAUAUGUCACUAUAAAUAUGUAUGAAGUUUUGUACAUAGGAAAGGAAAAAAUGGCUCAAAGAAUGUUUUCAGAGCUGUUUCCUCCGUUUAAAUGCGCAGACAGGAGAUUGCCAUCCAUGUGCUCCUCGCUCCCUGGGAAGGGAUCUUGCUGGGCUCUGUCAGGAGUCUGAUCCUGACCCGGAGCAGGGCUGGGCUCUGUCAGGAGUCUGAUCCUGACCCAGGGCUGGGCUCUGUCAGGAGUCUGAUCCUGACCCAGAGUAGGGCUGGGCUCUGUCAGGAGUCUGAUCCUGACUCAGGGCUGGGCUCUGUCAGGAGCCUGUUCCUGAUCCAGGGCUGGGCUCUGUCAGGAGUCUGUUCCUGAUCCAGGGCUGGGCUCUGUCAGGAGUCUGAUCCUGAUCCAGGGCUGGGCUCUGUCAGGAGUCUGAUCCUGACCCAGGGCUGGGCUCUGUCAGGAGUCUGAUCCUGACCCAGAGUAGGGCUGGGCUCUGUCAGGAGCCUGUUCCUGAUCCAGGGCUGAGCUCUCUCAGGAGCCUGUUCCUGACUCAGGGCUGGGCUCUGUCAGGAGUCUGUUCCUGAUCCAGGGCUGGGCUCUGUCAGGAGCCUGUUCCUGAUCCAGGGCUGGGCUCUGUCAGGAGUCUGAUCCUGAUCCAGGGCUGGGCUCUGUCAGGAGCCUGUUCCUGACCCAGGGCUGGGCUCUCUCAGGAGUCUGUUCCUGACCCGGAGCAGGGCUGGGCUCUGUCAGGAGCCUGUUCCUGACUCAGGGCUGGGCUCUGUCAGGAGCCUGUUCCUGACUCAGGGCUGGGCUCUGUCAGGAGUCUGUUCCUGAUCUGGGGCAGGGCUGGGCUCUCUCAGGAGUCUCUUCCCGGCCCGGGGCCGGGCUGAGCCGUGUCGGGUCUCGGCUGCUGCCUCCUCCCUCUGGCCCCUGUGCAUCUCUGACAAACAGCGUCUGCCAGCCCCGGUGGGACAGUGCCCGGCCCGGGGCAGACCCCCCGUGCCUGGUGCGGGGUGCAGCAGCCGGAGCAGGGGGUGCCGCGGGCCGCCCCUCGCCCGCCGCCUGCGUGCGUCAGGCGUGGACUCCUUGUUCAAGCUGCUGGAGGAUGUGGCUGUUGUUUCCAGUACUCUGCUCUAUAAUAUCUGUAGCCUUCAGUGAUUCCUUGAGUGCCUUACGUGGCUUGUGGACAGAAUUCCUGACCAGGAGGAGAAAACGCCCCUGGACCGACGCUGGCUCCUCCGCAGCCCUGUGCCCCUCGCCGGCAGCGCGGCUGUGCCCAGGAGGGAUUUAGCUUCGACUCAGGAAAUCGCCGUGUGAAUAUGUGUAUUAAACCCUGUAUGAUGUGCUGUACAGUUUAUUAAAAGAGACUAAUGUAAACUUAUGCAAAACGUAACGCAGAGAAACCGGAGGGGUUUGGUCCGCUGGCUGGCGUGCCGUGACCCGUGUCCUCUAAUCCUACUCCAGAAUCAUAUCCAAAAUAUGGAAUGCUGGCUUCAGUGCUGCGACAGCAACCGACAGCCCGAACACGGGGCUGGAGCGAUCGACCAGAGAAUUUUACAGAUAUUUUUGUAUUGUGAUUCCUAUGAUAUAUAUCGAGAGACUUUCUAUUCCUUUGUAAAAUACAUAAAUUAUUGUCAGCU